UGGAUUGACAUUUAGGAGUGAGCAAGGUUCUCUGUCAAUUAGACAGUUGCUGUGGGAAGCGGAGAGGAGUGCAUGAACAGAGGGAGUUCCUGGUGGGAAAGAGAGGGAGAAGAAGCUAUGAACUAAUAAGCUCGUCCACUACAAGGGAAGAAGUCACUACCAUAGAGGAGGAUAACCACAAACUCCUCCGAAAUCACAUCCACAUCUGCACAGCGGUCAACAGAACAACCUUCUCACAAUUUAUAACUCAAACUGUCUCCACUUUGCUUUGGUACCCAUUCCAUGAAGAAGCAGGAGACAGGCUUCCAUUGAGUCAGGGACAGUGAUGGGUUUACAGAGAGGGGCACUGCGAUGGGCACUUCCCUGGCUGCUGUUGGUCAUGGCUGGAGGGUCACACGGCUCCCUGGUGAAGACUAACCUAGGGUUGAGGGUGAAGAGGGGCCAGCUGGCCUACCUGCAGGAGGGGGACCUGCAGUUCCACAUCCCCCCGGUGAAGGACGCCUGCAAGGUGGAGGUGGUGCUCAACGAGCCAAUUACGCAGAGGGUGGGAACGCUGACACCCCAGGUGUUUGACUGCCACUACCUGGCUGAUGACGUAAAGUAUGUCCACAAUGGCUGCCCGAUACUAAAAGAAGAUACUGUCAAGCUUCGACUCUACAGGUUCACAGAGACAGAGACCUUUACAGAGGUCUUCUUCCUGCGUGUGGAGAUCAUGGAACCUGACUGCAACAUCAUCAAACUAGGGCCCAAGUCCCUGGUGGUGCCAGAGUUCUACGGCCUGUCCGACACGCUGGAUGGCAACGUGGUGUCCUUCCACUAUGAGAGGAUGACCAGUCUUGAGUGUAGCAUCCGUGUGAACACACACGAGACACACCUCCCGGGUCAUGGUCAGUUGGUCAUUGGGGAGCCAGACCAGCUGGAGGCCAGAGGGGACGAGCCGGAGAGCUUCAUUCCUCUCCGGCAGCAGCUAGAUAACAAGGCCAGGGCCAUGUGUAAGACUGAGGACUGCCUGAACGGCCUGAAGCUGGCAAAGGUUAUCAAAGUGCCCUGUGAUGAGUUCCUGGUGAUGGGCCUAAGGUACCAGCACAUAGACCCACCGUCUCCAGACGUAGACUACAUCGCCCUCCGACUGGACCUCACCGACACCAGGAGCGGGAGCAUAUAUCAGUCGGAGCGGGCCUGGAUACCUGUCCACAUCCCUGGCGCUGUUCCCAACCAGCCGCCCAAGCCAGCCUUCAUGUCCAUGUUUAUCCUGGAAGUGGACCAAUUCAUCCUCACGCCCCUCUCCACUGCCACCCUGGACGCAGAGGACGGAGAGACCCCCAAACAGCUGCUGGUGUUCAACAUCACCAAGCCCCCCCUAGAGGGCUUCAUCACCCACCUGUCAGACCACACACGACCCAUCUUCUCCUUCACCUGGGUGGACCUCAACGACAUGCUUAUCGGCUACCAGCCACCCAACUCAUCCCACACCCAGCGUAGGAACUACGAGGUGGAGUUUGAGGUACAUGACUUCUUCUUUGAGAAGAGCGCCCCGAUCAUGGUCCACAUGUCAGUUAGAACAGCAGACACCAAUGCACCCAGGGUGUCAUGGAACAUGGGUCUUAGUCUUCUUGAAGGUCAGUCUCGUCCAAUCACUUGGGAUCAGCUCCAGAUUGUGGACAACGACAACUUCAAGGCUGUACGCAUCAUCACUGUCGACGGCCUCCAGCAUGGCAGACUAACACUGAGAGGUGGCAAGGGUUUCAUGUUCACCGUGGCCGACAUCCUCGCGGGCGCUGUGCGCUACCAUCACGACGACAGCGACACCACCAAGGACUUCAUCAUCUUCCGCAUCACCGAUGGGCGCCACCAGACCCGGCACAAGUUCCCCAUCAACAUCCUGCCCAAGGAUGACAGCCCACCAUUCCUCAUCACCAACACAGUGCUGGAGCUCUCUGAGGGCCACACGGCCCUGCUGAGAGGAUCCAUACUGCAGGCCUCAGACAUGGACUCAAGCGACGACUACAUCCUGUUCAACAUCACCCGGCCACCGCAAGCUGGAGAGCUCAUGAAGAUCCCUGGUCCUGGACUCACUGGUUAUCCUGUCAGCCGUUUCCUGCAGAAGGACUUGUUCCACUCUGUGGUCUACUACCGCCAUCUAGGGAAUGAGGUGUUUGAUGACUCCUUCGAAGUGGUGCUCUCGGACUUCCAUGACCCACCCAACCUUUCAGAACCUCAGGUCAUAGUGGUGCACAUCAGCCCUGUGCCUGACCAGCCACCUAAAGAGGUCCCUGGGGUGACUCGCUGCCUGGUGGUCAAAGAGACAGAGGUGGUCCACCUGACCAAGAAGCAGCUUCACUUCAUCGACCUGGAGUCCCCUGACAGUGAGCUCACAUACACUGUUACCACUCCGCCCUUCUACAGCAGGUCUUAUGGGGUCCAUGAUGCAGGGAGGCUGUUCCUGGUUGACAGCAUUGCCAAAUUCACCAAGGAUGCUGAAGCCCCAGUGUUAAGGUUAUUCACACAGCAUGCAGUCAACUACAUGAAAGUGGCCUACAUGCCUCCCAUCCUGGACAUUGGGCCUUACCCGCAGCACAUCCGGUUGGUGCUCUCCGUCACCAACCAGCAGGGAACCACAGUCGCUGGCAUCUGCUUCAACAUUACCGUGGUGCCAGUGGACAACCUGGCCCCAGAGGUGCACAUGAAACCUCUGACAGUGGACGAGGGUGGGGAGUGCUGGGUGGGUCCGGACCACCUGCUGCUGGAAGACCAUGACUCUACAGAGGAGAGCCUGAGAGUGGAGCUGAAGAGAGAGCCUCAGCAUGGAGCUGUUCAGCUGGAUGGCUUCUCCAUGAAACCGGGCCAGAACUUCACUGUUCGCGACCUGAAAAGCCUAAAAGUUAGAUAUCAUCACGACAGCUCGGAAACAGUGGGCGAUGCCAUUGAAUUAAUCGCUACCGAUGGGAUUAACGCAAUCAACUUUGUUCUGGAAGUUAAGGUGACACUGAUCAAUGAUGAGGUUCCAGUUCUCAUGCCAGGUCUGAAACCUGUUCUGGACUGUGCAGAGGGACAGGAAGUCAUCAUCACCGCUGAGUACAUUUAUGCCACAGACGCAGACAGUGACGAUAACAGUCUGACCUACAUGAUUGCCCGUCAGCCAUACCAUGGCGUGGUGCGCAAAAACGCCAUUGUGGUCGAUCGCUUCAUUCAGGCAGACAUUGUCGCAGGGAGUAUCACCUACGAACACACAGGAGCGGAGAUUGGACUAGCCCCUCGACACGACACAAUCACGUUUGUGAUAUCCGACGGCCAGGUGGAGAACGCUCCGUCAUGCUGUAAUGACCGAGGGGACACAUUGAAAAGAGGCAGGACACAAGCCCAGGAGAGCCUGCCUCUGUAUGACCUGAAGGUCACCGUGUUCCCUGUGGACAGUCAGAUGCCUUCUAUUGCAACGGGAGAUGUGUUUGUGGUGGAUGAGGGGGGUGUGGCCCCUAUAACUGUAGCCCACCUCAGUGCCUCGGAUGUGGACACUCCCCUGGAGGAGCUGGUGAUCAGCCUGGUCUCUCCUCCCCAGUAUGGCUACAUUGAGAAUAUCCUGCCCAGUCCUGGAUUUGAGAAAAGCAACACAGGCAUCAGCAUCGCCUCCUUCUCUUACAGUGACAUCAUGAACGGACAUGUGAACUAUGUCCAGUCCAGACACCAGAGGAUUGAGCCAACCGCUGACCAGUUCAUGCUCUGUGUCUCUGACGGGAAACACACCUCGGCCCACGUCCACUUCUACAUCAUCAUCAACCCCAUCAAUGACGAGGUCCCGGAGUUUCUCGCCAGAAAUAUCACGGUGCGAGAGGGCCAUAUGAAGGAGCUGGACCCUGCUGUUAUAAACGCGGUGGAUCUGGACAUCCCUAAGAACAACCUGCUGUUCAGCGUGGUCCAGGCCCCCCAGCAUGGCACCAUCAUGGGCCGAACGUAUGGCAACGACGUGCCCGCCAAUGGAAGACCCGUCAACAGGCACAGGGACGCAGAGGUGCUGGUCCAUGACUUCACCAUGCAGGAGUUGAGGAAUGGUAUGUCUCUGAUGUACAUGCAUGAUGACUCUGAGAACAUGGUGGACAGCUUCACCAUCCAGCUGGACGAUGGGAAACACCAGCUCCAGAGGCACGUGAUGGUCAACGUACUCCCUGUCAAUGACGAGGAGCCUCGAGUCAUAAGGAACAAUGGACUGGAGGUGGAGGCAGGCGAGGCUAGGCUGAUCUCCAGUGCUAUUCUCUUUGCUCAGGACAGCGACACUACCUCUCAGGAGAUAGUCUACAUGUUGGAGAGCGUUCCCACUCAGGGACUGCUACAGGUUAAGGUAGGCUCUGACUGGGUGACCCAGUCUGCGGGGAUGAACUGCACCCAGGAGACAGUGGACAUGAACCUGCUGCGCUACCUCCAUACCGGGCCACUGGGACACACACAGGAUUUCUUUGUGUUCCACCUGCUGGACGGGAAGAACCGCUCCCCCGCGCAGCACUUCCACAUCUCCCUCAAGGACAUGGAGAAAGGAGACAUUGCUAUUUUUGUGAUGCCGGUGAAGACCAGCCGCGGUGAGCGCAUGGUUCUGACCACAGACGUCCUGCUGGCGACGGACGGUACAGACAAACCCGAGGAGCUGUUCUACAUCGUUACAGUCCCCCCCGGCAACGGCCACAUGGAGUACAUCAAACACCCUGGGGUGGCCAUCAGCACCUUCAGCCAGAUGGACAUCGCUGCCAACCUGGUGGGCUACGUCCACGACAACAGAGCCACCGCGUCGUUGGAGACACUACAGUUCGUCGUCAGCAAUGGCAAGGCCACCCGUAACGGCACCCUGGAGAUUUACGUUGAGACCACCGACCGCGUGCUGCCAUCACUGACCUGUAACAGCGGCUUGAGAGUCCUUCAGGACUCCUCCAUGGCGGUGACCCCUGACGCCCUCGCCUUGUCCGACCCCGACACCCCACCCAGUGACCUGCUCUUCUUUCUGGCCCAGCCUCCGCAGUACGGCACACUGCUUCGUGGCGGUGUCCCGCUCGCUGCCGGGGGUAACUUCACCCAGUGGGACCUGCAGGAGCUGGAGGUGACUUACAGGCACGGGGGCGGCCCGUCGCAGAUCGACCGCUUUGCCUUCACGGCCUCAGACACUACCAACAGGAGUUUCCUGCUGGAGGGAAGGGUGCAGACGGAACCUGUUAUCUUUACCAUUCAGAUUGAGCCUUUGGACAGCUCGGCUCCUGAGGUUGUGCAGCUGCAGUCUCUGUGGAAGGCUGAAGUCCUGUCUGACGGUCGCUAUGGGAUCUACCUCUCGUACCGGGAGCUGAGAGCGCAGGACGGCAACACCAAGGACGAAGACCUCACCUUCCACAUCCACAGACCACCAUACUUUGGCUACCUGGAGAAUACGUUUAAAGGCAGCUUUAUCCAGCAGCAUUUCACUCAGAGGGACCUGAGCAAAAGGACUAUCGUGUAUAUCAUAGACCCAGCGACAGAAGCCCUGUCGGACAGCCUGGAGUUCAGAGUGUCCGACCCCCUGGGGAACACUGGGCCCUCCCACACGCUGGAGCUGAAGUGGUCUCGUGUGGAGCUGGCUGUGUCUGAGUACCAGGCAUGUGAGGACCAGGGCACUGUCUCACUGGACGUCCUACGGAAAGGCAACAUGGCCGAGUCCUCGUACAUCACCAUCAAGGUGAGAGAGGUCACAGCGACUGCUGGAAAGGAUUUCACUCUGAGCCCGUCCAGCCUAAUCCAGUUUGAUCCUGGCGUAUCCAAAAGGAGCUGGCGUAUUGAAAUUACCCAAGAUCACCUGGAGGAGGCAGAGGAGACAUUUGAAGUGACACUGGUGUCCCCUGAGGGAACCGUAGUAGGCAGCACCUCCAAAGCGCUGGUUAAAAUCAAGGACUCUGGGAAAGGACAGUGUGGAUCCAGUCGGGCCCCUAUGGGCUCCAGUCUGGGGGGGAAGCAGGUUCAGUCAGGGCCGUACCCCCAACAUGGCUCCAUUCAUUUGGAGACACUACCCCUUGCCAAGGGAGACCAGCAGAUGACCUGGACCCGGGGCGAUGGUAUGCCCCAGUCUGUGCCCGCUGCUGUGCCCGCCACACCCAAUAUGAAACUCAGAGCCAUGGCCAACAGAAAGACGAUUCCACCAUCGUCAGUCCAUCGUAAUGGAACAGACACUGUGUUCAUGUACCACGGGAUCAUGUCCGUGCGCCUGGAGGAUGACAAGUCUCCGUCUAGGAAGGGAAGGAAGGCUAAUAUUCAGGUGACCAGCAGAGGGCGGCAGCAACAUGCAGCCGCAGCACCACCAGUGGCUCCCAACCUCAACCCUAAACCUGUCCCUAAGACAAAGAGUGACCACUUGCUCCCACGUUCAAUGCCUGAGCAGCCCAAUAAGGAGCCUUCACCUAGCUCUAGCCCUAAACCCUGUGUCCCAGAGCUGAUGGGGCUCCUACACUUUAACCAGAGCUCAGGCGGGCUCCUCCGCUGCAACGGGGUCUCCUGGAAGCCCUGGGCUCCCACUGAUGAGUAAUGAACUCUCACCUCAUUGGCCAGCCAUUUUCAUCCUCCCCCGACACAGAUGGUCAGUGCUCAGAAUUGUCGUAAGGGCUGGACCUAUCACAGUGGCAACUGCUACUUCCUGAGCACCGAGCGCAAGUCGUCGUGGAGCACCGCCAUCAGAGCAUGCAGGGAGAGUCACCAAGCCAAUCUGGUGAGCGUUUUUUCCAAGGCUGACAUGGACUGGCUGUGGGACUUCAGUGGAAGGAAGCCAUUCUGGAUAGGUCUAAACGACAGGGAGAGCCGAGGACGCUGGGAGUGGGUGGGUGGAGAACCCAUCACCUACACCAACUGGAGGAAGAGCCCGGCCAGAGGCAAGAGGAAGGGGACCAGGAGGUGUGUUCUGGUGUGGAGGAGGGCCAAGUGGCAGAUCAGAGACUGUAAGACGGGCAGGGGUCAUCUCUACAUGUGUUACAUCAAGACGUGAGCCGAGGGGGGGAUCCCUACGUUGGAUUGAUGCUAUGAAUCGGAACUAUUUUCUUUUCACUGUUGUUCCAACAGGAGUGGAGCUGACCCUCAAGACAAGUUGCAUUCAUACAGGUAACAUCAACCAAUCACCCAAAAGGAGAUUUACUACGGUACUACAGAGCUAGAUGAAGAGCUCAGCUUUAAUGAAAACGGAAGUACUGCAUCAAACACAUCAGUCAAACACACACAUGCACCACUGAAGCUCACGCUUUUCCCAGCUACUGUAGUUUAAAGGGAUCGUUCUCUCCAAUGACACUGGAUUCCUUACCAUUCUUAAUGUUGAGUAGCUUUAACAUGUACCGUACUGUUCACAUGUGUAACAGCUAUACUUAUUACUAUUAUUAUUGUUGAGUGCUGUAACUGCUGCACUGGUCAUCUGUGUAAUAUUUAAUAUCUGUGUAUAACAAAUUGUAUUGUGAGUAACGCAUACCUCUCAACGUGUACAUUUCAAGUAUUAUUUGAUUUCACCGUCUCAAGGUUGUAUUCAAAUGUACGGUCCUUGAUGGUAGUAACACUGUCUUGUCUGAAAUCCGUCAUAACUGGGUUUGUGGACUAUAGUAUUUCUGUAUUAACAAAAUGUAAUAUUUUAUGAAUAACAACAUAAGAUUCAGGUUACUCUCAUCACUGACACUACACUCAAUGGCCAGUUUAUUAGGUAUGCCAUCCUGUUCACUAAAAUGCUUUGCGCCUACAGACAGUGAGUCACGUGGCCGUGGCUUGCUAUAUAAAGCAGGCAGACAGGCAUCGAGGCAGUCGGUCACAGUUAGAUUGAACGUUCGAGUGGGGGGAAACUAGUGACCUAAGCAACUUUGAGCGUGGUAUGAUGGUCAGUUCCAGUAUCUCAGAAAACAGCUCGUUGAAGAGCGGUCGAAGGAGAAUGGCAAGAAUUGUGCAAGCUAACAGGCGUGCCACAAACUGGCAGAUAACGGAAAUACAUUGAGUGGAAAAACAUUGCCUGUGUCAUGCUGAUGGCAUAGUCAGGAUUUUGGCAUCCAUGACCCCAUCCUGGUGUCAACGGUACAGGCUGGUGGUGGUGCUGUAAUGGUGUCAGGAAUGUUUUCCUGGCACACGUUACGUCCCUUGACACAUAUUGAGCAACGUUUCCAGAUCCCAAAGAAUUUGGGCCAUUCUGGAUGCAAAGGGACGUCUGACCCAGAACUAGAUGGGCACACUUAAUACUGGCCACUGAGUGUAUAUGGUGCCAACUCUACAGUUCACAUUAUGCCACAGAAACUCAAAUACACAAAUACAGAAAGGCAUCAGCUGCCUUCGAGACAGCAUGCAGUUGUGGGAUCACUCAGUUGCUUUCUCAAAUUACAUUGUGACAGUUGCCACAUUUUAGCCAGUUACUGUACUGAAUUUAUUUUAAUUUCACAUUCCAUUUCAAAUGUAAUGAUUUGUAUGCAAUUAUUUUAUAAACGUAUAUUAUUCCAGGAA
Molecule: RNA transcript, 8457 nt
Organism: Oncorhynchus kisutch (coho salmon)
Lineage: Eukaryota; Metazoa; Chordata; Actinopteri; Salmoniformes; Salmonidae
Gene: frem1a
Gene name: Fras1 related extracellular matrix 1a
Exons: 37
Source: RefSeq, a predicted model, not a curated record